Prunus avium (sweet cherry) is the source of this 435-nucleotide long non-coding RNA. RefSeq lists it as uncharacterized. NCBI's taxonomy places the organism in Eukaryota, Viridiplantae, Streptophyta, Magnoliopsida, Rosales, Rosaceae. The record is from RefSeq and is a predicted model, not a curated record.
UUGGGGUUUGCCGUUUUCAUUUUCAGCACCAGAGACCUGGCUUCGGCUACCUCACACUCUCUCGCGCCUUCCCCUCCUUCCUCGACAACACUCUCUGGACUGCCGCAGGAUUGACGGCUGCAAAUCUCCCAACGCAUUUCGACGACCAGAUUCAAACCACAUACUUCCACACGGCCGUAACUUGAUGUGACUCGUGACUCCAAGCCACUCUUCCCGCGCUUCCGACUUCAAUCGUAGGACUUUUAUGUUGUUUAUUUCCUUUGAAAACUACUUUGGUUGUGUAACUAAGAAUUUCUUAGAUUGCUCUGAUAUUGCCUAUGAAGGGUUGAAAUUGAGGUCGGAUGCCUAUUUUGUGAACUGUGUGCUUUAGCAUUGUGUGUGCUGCUAGUUGGGAUGUUUAAUGUGUUGCUUUUAUCGAUGGAAAAUUUUGGGAUU